UGGACGAGACUUAGAAUUUCUUAGACUUUUCUUCUGUAUAACAGCUGCGUCGCGCCACGGACGGCGCGACGAGGCGAUGCUGAGGCAGGACGCCGAAUCAUCGCCGGCAGCGUAACUAAUCCUCCGCUCUCGGAAAAGUCUUAGAAAUUCAAGU
RNAcentral lists this non-coding RNA (154 nucleotides) under bovine gut metagenome. The record is from RNAcentral.